GUUUUUAUGGUCGAAAUGAUUUAUUAUAGAAUAUAAAACAAAACAUGUAUAUAAUUUUAAGUCGUACAGUAUAUAAUACAACACAAUUUUUAUGUUCAUUCAAAGGAAUAAAUAAAAUAUUUCUUGUAACUUUUAAUUUAAAAGUAUAUAAUAAAUAUUAUACUUUUUAUAAUAAAUCACAUAUAUUACAAAAUAAUUCAUGGAAAGUAUUAUUUUUUGGCACAGAUGAAUUUGCAGUUGAAAGUUUAAAAAUCUUAUAUGAUAAAUAUGAAUCUAAAGAGCUAGAACGGCUAGAAAUUGUUACAAAUUAUAAAAUAAAAGAAAAUCCUGUUGUAAAAUAUGCAAAAAAAAAUAAAAUUAUUAUACAUAAAUGGCCAGUUGAAAUUAAUAAAUCAGAGUUUCACAUAGGAAUAGUUGUCUCAUUUGGUCAUUUAAUUCCAUCUACAAUCAUAAAUGCAUUUCCAUUAGGUAUGUUAAAUGUACAUGGUAGUUUAUUACCAAGAUGGAGAGGAGCAGCUCCAAUAAUUCAUACAUUAAUUAAUGGUGAUUUAAAAACAGGAGUUACAAUAAUGAAGAUAAUGCCAAAAAAAUUUGAUAUAGGAGAAAUAGUAUUGCAAAAACAAAUAGAUAUUGAUGAACAUGAAACAAUGCCAAAAUUAUAUACAAAAUUAGCAAAGCUUGGAGGAAAUCUUUUAAAAGAAACAUUUGAAAAUUUAUUGGAAUUAUUACAAUUUGCAAAACCUCAAGAUGAAACUAAUAUAACAUAUGCACCAAAAAUAACAUCAAAAAUAUCUUUAAUUAAUUGGAAUAAAAUGUCUGCCACAAAUGUUUAUAACUUACAUCGUGCUCUUCUGGGUUUAUAUGAUUUAACUACAUCAUUUCAAAAUGUAAAAAUAAAAUUGCUUGAUAUUCAAAAAAUUGAAUCAAAAAUAAUAGCAACAAAACUUAAAGAAGAAAAUACAGGUGUUGCAAUAUAUAGCAAAAAAAAUAAUGCAUUAAUUAUAAAAUGCAAAGAAAAUAGUUUUGUUUCUGUAAAAAAAAUAACUGUUCAAGAUUCUUUCUUUUAUUGAAUUAAAUUAGCUUCAAGAUAUAUUCCUAGUAACAAUUUUAGAUCAAAGAUAAAAAUAUCCAUAAAUAAGUUUUAGCCUAAUUUGUUGCUUUGGCUGCUUCAAAAUUAUACGAAGUGUAGGUGUAUUAUCCAUCUUUUAUGAAGAAUUGUUCCCAUUUUCAUAUAAAAGUGAUUUUUUAACUGGUGGAUCAAGACAGGUGAAAUGGUAGCAUUUUUUACAUUCAUCACACCUGAAAAAUUAAUAAAUUCACAAAUUCGGAAUUUGUUUAAAAAAAUAAGUAUUUAAUGUAUUUAUAUAAA
This is an RNA transcript of Apis mellifera (honey bee), 1369 nucleotides long. It is a transcript of the gene named methionyl-tRNA formyltransferase, mitochondrial, with no coding region annotated. The record is from RefSeq and is a predicted model, not a curated record. NCBI's taxonomy places the organism in Eukaryota, Metazoa, Arthropoda, Insecta, Hymenoptera, Apidae. The transcript has 8 exons.